UACGUAGGUGGCAAGCGUUGUCCGGAUUUACUGGGCGUAAAGAGCGCGCAGGCGGUCGAAUAAGUCGAACGUGAAAUCCCCGGGCUCAACCCGGGAACUGCGUCCGAUACUGGCUGGCUUGAAUCCGGGAGAGGGAUGCGGAAUUCCAGGUGUAGCGGUGAAAUGCAUAGAUAUCUGGAGGAACACCGGUGGCGAAGGCGGCAUCCUGGACCGGUAUUGACGCUGAGGCGCGAAAGCCAGGGGAGCAAACGGG
Molecule: ribosomal RNA, 253 nt
Filed under: uncultured bacterium
Lineage: Bacteria
Description: partial 16S ribosomal RNA
Rfam family: Bacterial small subunit ribosomal RNA
Source: RNAcentral